RNAcentral lists this ribosomal RNA (225 nucleotides) under uncultured bacterium. RNAcentral's name for it is "partial 16S ribosomal RNA". It matches the Rfam family "Bacterial small subunit ribosomal RNA", at positions 524 to 747 of the family's 1533-position model. The record is from RNAcentral.
UACGUAGGGUGCAAGCGUUGUCCGGAAUUAUUGGGCGUAAAGAGCUCGUAGGCGGUCUGUCGCGUCUGCUGUGAAAACUCAGGGCUUAACCCUGAGCUUGCAGUGGGUACGGGCAGACUAGAGUGCGGUAGGGGAGACUGGAAUUCCUGGUGUAGCGGUGAAAUGCGCAGAUAUCAGGGAGGAACACCGGUGGCGAAGGCGGGUCUCUGGGCCGUAACUGACGCU